UUGUGACGUUUCCACCGAUCAGAGGAUUAAAUUUUCUUUUGCCUUUCAUGCUGAGUGGUUCUCAAUGGAUGUAAAAACAGAAUUAAUUUACUUUCUGUUUGAGGCGAAGAAAACAUUACUUUGAGAAGCUCAAUAGUGAUGGUGAGUUAAGACAAUCAGAAAUAGUAUCAGAUCCCCAAAUAGGCAGAUUUAUAGGUCUACAUUUGCGUGCAGGCCAGGUAGCCUAGGCCUACUUCUAUGAGUUACCAGGCGCACUCAAGAUUGACAGGAGCACUCCAAACAAAAGACAAUACAUUUAUUGACAACUCAGAAAUAAACCUAGGUUGUGCACUCUGCAAACAACGUGUCCACUCCUACAAUGACAAAGCUAACACUGUAAUAAACAUAAAAACAGCUUUCACAGAAACUACCGAAAACAAACAUUUAUAAUUCAAAAUUAUGGGAUUUAACGGUAAAUGUACUACUGGUGAUACUGGUGUGCCAUCCCUGUGGUCUCCAACGGAUUAGUCCACUGAGACAGGCGUGUAUCAGACAGGUGUCGUGUGCCAUCCCUGUGGUCUCCAAUGGAUGAGUCCACUGAGACAGGCGUGUAUCAGACAGGUGUCGUGUGCCAUCCCUGUGGUCUCCAAUGAAUGAGUCCACUGAGACAGGCGUGUAUCAGACAGGUGUCGUGUGCCACCCCUGUGGUCUCCAAUGGAUGAGUCCACUGAGACAGGCGUGUAUCAGACAGGUGUCGUGUGCCACCCCUGUGGUCUCCAAUGGAUGAGUCCACUGAGACAGGCGUGUAUCAGACAGGUGUCGUGUGCCACCCCUGUGGUCUCCAAUGGAUGAGUCCACUGAGACAGGCGUGUAUCAGACAGGUGUCGUGUGCCACCCCUGUGGUCUCCAAUGGAUGAGUCCACUGAGACAGGCGUGUAUCAGACAGGUGUCGUGUGCCACCCCUGUGGUCUCCAAUGGAUGAGUCCACUGAGACAGGCGUGUAUCAGACAGGUGUCGUGUGCCACCCCUGUGGUCUCCAAUGGAUUAGUCCACUGAGACAGGCGUGUAUCAGACAGGUGUCGUGUGCCAUACAUUUGUUUUACAUAUUUGCCACUGCUCUACAAAAAAAAUACAGCCAAUCAACCAAACAAUCGACAAGUCGACUAAAUGGGGUCAGCCCCACUUUACGCACUGCCCAGACUAGACUCAUGCUAUUUGUAUGUCUUUUAUUAGUAUUUUUUUCCCUCCUUUUCUAAUCAAUUGCAAUCUUGUCUCAUCGCUGUUACUCUCCAAUGGGCUCCGAAACAUGGCCCGCCAAACGGUUUUUCUUAACACCCCCCGCUUAAACUGGAAACACCGUUCACCUGACUACCGAGGUCAUCCUGCAGGCGCCUGGCCCGGCACAAGGAGUCGCUAGAGCGCAAUGAGUCAAAUAAAGCUCCCCGGCAAACCCCUCCCCUAACCCAGAGGACGCUGGGCCAAUUGAGCUCACCCUAUGGGACUCCUGAUCACGUACAGGUUGUGAUAGAGUCCAGGAUGGAACCUGGGUCUAGUGAUGCCUCUAGCGCCACUCGGGAGGCCUCUUUGUAUUUCUUAAGCUUCACUAUAGUUUUCGCUGGGGAAGAGCACCCAACUACUCUGGCUUAUUUGGCUCAAGGGUGUGAACUAACCGCAGACAGCCGUUCAUCGUCCUGAUGUGUGCAGCCUCAAACAUGUCAUUGCAUUUGCAGAUGAACUAACACAUGCCAAUCAUGCAUUCAGGUGAAAAUGAGUCUGUCUAUAGAAUACCUCUGUGUACUAUAC
Molecule: long non-coding RNA, 1782 nt
Organism: Oncorhynchus keta (chum salmon)
Lineage: Eukaryota; Metazoa; Chordata; Actinopteri; Salmoniformes; Salmonidae
Exons: 3
Source: RefSeq, a predicted model, not a curated record